CCCUCCUUCCUUCAGUCGCUUUGUUUUCGUGAGGCGAGGCGGUGCGCCGUGUGUGAGCUGCGUGUCUCGCUGCGAACUUGUCAACUUGAUGCGUUUGUCGAACGGGAGGGCCGCCCCCCUGCUGGCAUUUCAGUGACUUUUCCCUUGGCCUUUCUUCGCGGUGUCGCGAGUCCUGGGGGCAUCGCUGCUGUGGCCCCAUCAGCUGAGCUUGGGGCUGGCGGCUCUACGCAGGACCCGUCGAGGAGAGGCGAGCUUGUCAGCGCCUCCGUUCCUUUUGGUGUUCUCAGUGAUUCCUUGAAUGGAAAGUGCCUGAACCUGUGUGGAUUUGGACGCCCAGUGUGGAUAAGUGGACGUGAAAUCAACUUUGCUCGCUCAUAGAUGGCGUGGACGGGGUAGACGGGGUAGACGAGCAGCAUGGGGAGCCCAGGGAGCCCCGCGGCGGACAGCAGCCAGCGGCGCCGCAGCGGCUGCCCCGACGGAGCGGUGGACUCGGCAUGACGCAUGACGCACAAUGGCUGACACUUCAGGCCCCGGCCCAGGUUCCGGGUCGGCAGAAGAGGUGGCGGCCGGCGGGGAUGACGGCGGGGGUGGCUGCGCGGACGUCGGGGACGUGUCCCCGGACAGCCGGCUGUCCCCCGACGCCGUGGACGACGUGGAGA
This is a long non-coding RNA of Thrips palmi, 659 nucleotides long. RefSeq lists it as uncharacterized. NCBI's taxonomy places the organism in Eukaryota, Metazoa, Arthropoda, Insecta, Thysanoptera, Thripidae. The record is from RefSeq and is a predicted model, not a curated record. The transcript has 3 exons.